GAAAAUGUAAAGAAUGGGAAGAGUACAGGAUAAUUAUCAUGUAGAGAUGGAAAUCAUUGGCUGAAAGUUUCCUUGAAAAAUUAUGCUGGAAUGUCGCCCAGGAACAGCUCCUUUGAACAAAUAAGGUUAAGAUGCUGCCUUUUUUAAGUAGAAGGAAGCCGGUCUAUGUACCGUUAUCAACAAAUGAAGUGUGUAUACUUUGUUUCUUUACUACACUAGAAGUAUACAAAUAAAGGUGGUACCACGGAGAGCAAACCCUUUUCGUCCUUUUA
Molecule: non-coding RNA, 272 nt
Filed under: Virgibacillus chiguensis
Lineage: Bacteria; Bacillati; Bacillota; Bacilli; Caryophanales; Bacillaceae
Description: T-box sequence
Rfam family: T-box leader
About the family: Uncharged tRNA acts as the effector for transcription antitermination of genes in the T-box leader family. T-boxes are found upstream of many aminoacyl-tRNA synthetase genes and some amino acid biosynthetic genes usually in Gram-positive bacteria.
Source: RNAcentral